GUGUGGGAUCCCUACCUUUCCAAGAGUUGGUCACAGUUCUCCCUCUCUUUCUAGAAAGCUUUUAAAAACGGGAAAGUCACUUUGCUCCAAGUUAGGUCUUGUUAUUUUGUAAAAGGCCGAUAUUUGUUUAACUCACAUCCCUGUCAGCUGACCUGAACUCUCCAAGUAGGACAGGAAAUCGGGGCAUAUUUGCUGAGUUUUGUUUGCAUUCCUGCCUGCUGCCAUGGGAGCUCUAGGGGAAGAAUAGAGAAGACACAGUCAUGACAUAUAGCCAAGCCUGCACUGUGUACCAACUUACAGGACUGUCAUCACAGCCUCUGAUUUAUGGCCCUGUGAGAGCAUCAUCACCCCUUUCUAGCGAAGUGCCCACCAAAGGGUGUGAAUGUUUGGAAUCGCCAGCGUGGACCAAUGCGCCAUUCGACACUCAGGAUUUUCACGCAUGCCAACAGAGGCGAGGGCAAAGGGAGAAGAUUGGUUCACCGAGUGCUGAUGUCACAAUGGCCCUUAACUCUUUGUUAACAUUUCCAUUCACCUCAAGGUGAGAACAUGCAACCCAUUCACAAAGCACAGAAGGGAAGUUUCGCUGGGCUGAUUGCAGAGAAGCAGAACAGAGGGGGAAGCAGCAAAGGUAUCAACACUUGUAAAACAGCGACUGAAUUCCCCACACACCCAAACCUCAGGCUUUUAUAUACAUUAUUUACACAAUGAGUCCUGUCUGAUUGGCUGAUUCUGCUUCCCUCCUGGAGCCUGAUUGGUCUUCUCCUGCAUGUGAAGGGACUGACCGCUGCCCAGUCCACCAGGGGACACAACACUCGCCUCGCCCUGGGUGCCAGCAACCCACGGUAUGUCCCAGCCCCAUUCUCCGUCAAUAAUUGCUCAAUGACUGCAGACUACCCUCCUCUCCAGUUUACAAGCUGCCAUUGCUUGCACCUUUCUUGCUUAUUUGAACACUUGUUGCCUCUUCACAAGGUUGCCUCUAUGUGUCAGCUCAGUGGAGAGGGGAUGGGCUGUAUCUGCUGACCCUGACAUCAUAUUGUACCCCACCCCACUCCUCAACAUUGGUGAAUUCAGUAUGCGCUACAUGAAAAGGGGAAUCCAGAUUGCAUGGGGUUCUGAAUCACAUGAAAUCCUAUGAGCACGCAACAGGACAUCCUCUUUGCAGAUGUCAUGCAGAGUAAGUUGGUGGGGGCAGAAGGUCAAUAGCUUUGCUCCCCACCCCAUUUAGGCUGUAUGUGGAGGUGACUUGUGAAAAGGCUGUGAUGGAGCACAGAAUAAUGUGUCUCUUAAUUUCAUUGAAAAGCAUUGCAGCUUGCGCACUGCAAUGGCUCUGCACAAGCUACCACUUCCUUCUAUAGUCAUUUUCUUAUAAAUAUGCAGAGUGAACGAGCUCUUACCUGCCUCAUUUGUCUUGCAUUUCAAUCCAAUAUUAUGCUUUGAAAGAAAUCCCAUUGGUUUUAGCAGGAGUAAUCUCUGUAUAAUGGAUUCAAGCUAGUAUGUUUGGUCUCUGGAAGAUUCAGGCCACCUCAUAAAACAAUUGUGGGGGCUGCCGAGGGCCAUUUUUAAUUUGCUACUUAGAUAUUGACAAUAUCCAGGUUUUGGUGGGUGUGAAAGCUUACACUGGAGGAAAGGGGGUGAAAAGCAAAACUGCCCAUGAUGAAACUGCCUUUUUUUUUUUGGAAAAUCUAUAGUAUGGCCAUGCUUGCUGUGCUGUGCAAAGUUCUAGUUCCUGCAAAUGAUGCUGUAGGAAAGGUAGAGGUGCAGAAAAGAGCAAUGAAAAUUGUCAGAGGAUGGAGAAAUUCAGAAUAGACAAACGUACUUCUUCACACAGUGCAUAGCUAAGGUGUAGAAUUCACCCCCACAAGAUGCAGUAGUGGCCACCAGUUUAGACAGCUUAAAAAGGAGAGUAGACAAAAUAUCAAAUUUGCAUUUUUCGGAACAAUAUGAGAACCAAACCACAGCUAUCCUUUGAAAUUGGAACUUAUCUGAAUUGUGUGGUGCAGUUCUCCAACCAACCAAGAUUUAGAAAAAAGCAUAUAUUUCAGGAGAGUGCAUAAAAAUCAUUUUAUUAGCAAAAAAUUAACAUGCUAAAGUGCUUUAUAGUACAUUAGUCAAGGCUGCAUACAGAAAAUGUGUGUAUUCUGUUGAAUUUUAAAAUCACAAUACAAUUUGAGAUGUAUAACAAUGGGUAUAAUAAUGCACUUAGUAUGCAAAAAUUGUAUUUAUUUAUUUAAAAUCAUUUACCAGCAGCUUAAUUUUUUAAUCUCUUAAGUGUUUGUAUGUACAAUAUAAAAACUAAACAAUAUCAUUAGAACAAAAAUGCAAUGCAAAACCAAUAAAACAGCAGCAUAAAAUCUUAUAAAACCAAAACAGAGGAUUGAAUCACCUAAAUGGCCUCAGCUCAGUAUUCCUGAAGAAGCGUCCCCACCCCCAUUGUUCAGUUCGGACACU
This is a non-coding RNA of Podarcis muralis (Common wall lizard), 2448 nucleotides long. The record is from RefSeq and is a predicted model, not a curated record. NCBI's taxonomy places the organism in Eukaryota, Metazoa, Chordata, Lepidosauria, Squamata, Lacertidae.